Molecule: long non-coding RNA, 603 nt
Filed under: Macaca fascicularis (crab-eating macaque)
Lineage: Eukaryota; Metazoa; Chordata; Mammalia; Primates; Cercopithecidae
Description: lncRNA (ENSMFAG00000054251.1)
Source: RNAcentral
GUAGAAGUGAUGCAAGCAGUGAAUGGGAAAUCAGGAAAAUUUCCAUUAACCUCUGCCUAAGUCCUUUAGGGCUCUGUCUCUGUUUUGUUCCUCUUAAGGCUGUCACCUCUAUGCCCAACGAUUAUCUCAUUGGUUCCAGGACAUUGUUACCAUUUAUCUCCACUGGACAUCUAUUUUCUUUCCAAAAGCACAGUCAAUGUGCCUUCUCCCUGAUUUUCUCUGCCAAAUAUAUCAGAUUGUGGGAGGUUUAUGGAUACACAAUGCUUCACGGGCAACCUGAAAGGUAGGGGGACUGCGAGGCGAUACUGCAAAAAAAAAGUGUGAUGGAGAAAGCGUGAGUGACUACUGGAAGACAGACCUGAGAUAAUUAGUGAAGAGGUGACAGUGAAUAUUACCAUGAUUUGUUUCACCAGGUUGUGUUUCAAAGAUAAUGAAGAACUAUUAAAUCAUUUUCUUUUUUUUCUUUGAGAUAUUAAAGAAUAAAUGAAAGGAAUGUGCAGAUGCUAAUUAUAAAUAUCAAUUAUGAUAAGUUUGAGUAGCUACCUACUUUAUACCACGCUCCAGAAAUAUUUGUUAUGCAAAUGUAUAAACUCGACCCAGUGG